This is a long non-coding RNA of Nothobranchius furzeri (turquoise killifish), 1294 nucleotides long. RefSeq lists it as uncharacterized. The record is from RefSeq and is a predicted model, not a curated record. NCBI's taxonomy places the organism in Eukaryota, Metazoa, Chordata, Actinopteri, Cyprinodontiformes, Nothobranchiidae.
GUGUUUUUGGGGUAAAACAAAGGCCUAAUCCAACACAAGUGUUUCUGAGGAAUUCCAAACAACCCCAACCAGCUGCUGGACUACGGCUCCAUUGAUGACGCUGACCUCUGAACUCCCAGCGGAGACAGCAAGAAACAAAGAUCCCUUUUCCCAUGAGGGAGCAAUAAACCAUCACCCAUUUCUUAGAAGGAUGACCCCUUCUGAUUAAAUCUUUGUUUACUCAAUCGAAAAGGUCUGACGUGUUUCUGUCCCACACUGACAACAGAAAGAGUUUUGGCUAGGAUGCGUUAGAAAAGACGCAACAAACAAAGGUAGCGAGGAAUGCAUAAAUAUGCAUUGAAACCAUGUCCUUAUUCACAUAACUUUUCUACUGAAACCACAGAUGUCUUUGUGUGUGACUAGAUGAGCAACAUCAAGGAAUCUGAGAAGUCGAAAUCAGAAUUUAUGUCCUCGACAGGACGAUAAAGACUGCAGAGAUCAGUGAGAAAAGCAGGAUGUGUGUGAGAACUCAUGAGUAAGAAGAGCGAGAACCGAGGACCUCAUUUCAUUCACAUCCUGGCUUCUGCUGAACUUUUGUGCAACUAUUUAUUUCUUGUGUGUUUUCAUGGAAGUUGUGCUUUUCUGUGAGUAGAUAAUUGAAAAUAGAACAGAAUGCAAAAAAACUGUCAAAUAUUGCAAAAUAAAUGUUCUGUUUAAUUUUUGCUCUUCCAAGUAAUACAGCCACAACCUAGCCGCUGAACUUUUAAUGCAUUUUUAGGAUGCAAUAUAUAAUUCUCAGAAAUCUAGGACUAUUGUAUAAAGUUUUACUUAUCUCUACAAACUCGUUUUCAAAUUCGUGAUGUUUUGUAAUCCCACACUUUUCACUCUUGUGCCUCACUUCACACGUGUAUCAGAACAAGUAAAGAUGACAGCAUGGGGGGGAAACACACCAGUUAGCAACAUGGCAUCCAGCAAUAUUUUCUACAUCGUUCCAUGUCUGUGCGUUGACCCUACUAAAAGAGGCUUUUAAUUUGAAUCUGGGCACCGAUAGUCCUAAAUUGUGAAGUCUGAUAAGAUAUUUGCAUUAAAGCAAAUUUGUGUGAUUUCAGAAAUACAAGAAUUUUCUUUAUAACCUUUAAAUGUAAAUCCUAACUACCCCCACUAACCAAAUAACAAACCAAAUCCUACUCACCAUUUGCUUAGUAAUAAAGCCAGGGUGUCGGGUUGCUCGUUUGGUUAAGUUUACUACACCUCUAUAAAGCCUGAAAGUCCUUUUAGCAGCAGGUCCUGAUUUGCAGCCGGGCUACGUUUCCAC